GGCGUUUUGGCCGAGCGGUCUAAGGCGCUAGCUUAAGGUGAACUCGCUUACUCGAGCAAUAACCCGCUAGUCCGAAAGGGCGUGAGUUCGAAUCUCACAGACGUCA
This 106-nucleotide transfer RNA is filed under the name Rhodotorula toruloides. Its description in RNAcentral is "Rhodosporidium toruloides tRNA". It matches the Rfam family "tRNA". From Rfam's summary of the family: Transfer RNA (tRNA) molecules are approximately 80 nucleotides in length. Their secondary structure includes four short double-helical elements and three loops (D, anti-codon, and T loops). RNAcentral also lists the same sequence under 1 other name. Lineage: Eukaryota; Fungi; Basidiomycota; Microbotryomycetes; Sporidiobolales; Sporidiobolaceae. The record is from Rfam by way of RNAcentral.